This is a long non-coding RNA of Pseudoliparis swirei, 599 nucleotides long. RefSeq lists it as uncharacterized. The transcript is spliced from 4 exons. Lineage: Eukaryota; Metazoa; Chordata; Actinopteri; Perciformes; Liparidae. The record is from RefSeq and is a predicted model, not a curated record.
UUGAGUCGAAUGUGUCAGACACCGUAUCCUCUGUGCCUUCUGAUUCAUCUGAUGCAACAAUAACUCUUGAGAACGAUGGUGGGAGGAAAAGGACCCACGACGAUCGGGAAUCAGCUGAAGCGAUGGUGAGAGAUGUUCUUCAGUCCAAGCCAGGGGGAGAAAAGGUGUUGCAUGAAUAUGACAAAAUGAAGACAUUGACGGAUGGUACCCGGCGACAUAUGAUAAACCUACUGGUGGCUGACAUGAUUGAAGUUCAUGGGAGGAUCCCACCAACCUAUGUGCGAACAAAAUACGCUCUUGGCAUUAUAACUCUAUUUCCUUACCUCGGGGAUCCUUACUCAAAAAAUGGAUAUGAGCACUUCUAUGAUGCUGACAGUGGAUCUGGUUAUUUGGCCUGGAGGAUAAAGACAGUCCAGCGCAACAUUGCAGUUCUAUCUCGGAGAUGCUCAACCACCUGUACCUAUCAAGCUGGACCAAAAAGCAAGAGAGAUUUUCUCCUAACUGACAAUCAACUGUCUGGCGAGGAAUGCCGUGAGGCAAUCUCCAUAUUGAAACAUACAACUGAUGAAUCGGUUGUCAAAGAGAAAAUGAGGGCAACA